GAUGAACGCUGGCGGCGUGCCUAAUACAUGCAAGUCGAGCGAAUGGAUUAAGAGCUUGCUCUUAUGAAGUUAGCGGCGGACGGGUGAGUAACACGUGGUAACCUGCCCAUAAGACUGGGAUAACCCCGGGAAACCGGGGCUAAUACCGGAUAACAUUUUGAACCGCAUGGUUCGAAAUUGAAAGGCGGCUUCGGCUGUCACUUAUGGAUGGACCCGCGUCGCAUUAGCUAGUUGGUGAGGUAACGGCUCACCAAGGCAACGAUGCGUAGCCGACCUGAGAGGGUGGUCGGCCACACUGGGACUGAGACACGGCCCAGACUCCUACGGGAGGCAGCAGUAGGGAAUCUUCCGCAAUGGACGAAAGUCUGACGGAGCAACGCCGCGUGAGUGAUGAAGGCUUUCGGGUCGUAAAACUCUGUUGUUAGGGAAGAACAAGUGCUAGUUGAAUAAGCUGGCACCUUGACGGUACCUAACCAGAAAGCCACGGCUAACUACGUGCCAGCCGCCGCCGUAA
RNAcentral lists this ribosomal RNA (514 nucleotides) under uncultured bacterium. RNAcentral describes it as "partial 16S ribosomal RNA". It matches the Rfam family "Bacterial small subunit ribosomal RNA", at positions 28 to 523 of the family's 1533-position model. The record is from RNAcentral.